RNAcentral lists this long non-coding RNA (233 nucleotides) under Eucalyptus grandis. Its description in RNAcentral is "long non-coding RNA (EGRA_LNC007768)". Lineage: Eukaryota; Viridiplantae; Streptophyta; Magnoliopsida; Myrtales; Myrtaceae. The record is from RNAcentral.
GUGUACAUUGUGUGUUGGAAGUUUAGGUUUUUAUUCUGCCUUUUUUUUCUCUUCUUUUUACUUGACCCAAUUGUUUUGUUCCUUAUUUUUCCCUCUUAAUUGGUUUCCAGCCUUGUUAUUUUUGGCUAAUUAUUACAUCUUCCUUUUACGGAAAGCUCUUUGUAAAGGGAUGAUUCAUCCAUUGAUUUAUUGAAGUGUUCAAGUUUGAUCUUAAUGGCAGAAAUCUGUUGCCA